RNAcentral lists this small nuclear RNA (99 nucleotides) under Moschus moschiferus (Siberian musk deer). Lineage: Eukaryota; Metazoa; Chordata; Mammalia; Artiodactyla; Moschidae. The record is from RNAcentral.
GUGUUCACUUCUGUAGCACACACAUAAAAUAGGAUACAGAUAUUAGCAUGGCCCCUGAACAAGGGUGACAUGCAAAUUCCUGAAGCAUUCUAUAUUUUU